AUGAAUAAUAGUACCCCCUCACUUCUCUCUUCCCUGGGGGGCAGCAUGGGGUUGGCCAUUCCAUCUCUUACCAGGAUAUCUCACUCUUCUACUUUGCACCAGAACUGGGACCUUAGAAUCCCUGCUCUAGCAUUCAGUGCAAUACUAUGGUGUCCUAAACUUGUCCAUAUUCUCCAUCAGGCUGAAGGCUUCCUUGAGGGGAACCCCACAUUUCCACAUUUCUACUUCAAAAAAGCAUCUAGGGUGUCAACUUGUUUUCACAGUUCCAUUAUGAACCACAAGGAACCAGCCUUUCCCCAUAACCCCCCCCCCCCCGCCCCCAAUUUCUAGGUCAGGUCGUGUUGGUUUCGUUGAGCAAAACUUUUGGCAAGGCUGUAGCUUUGAGUCUGUAUUCUGUCUCUGGCUUCUUUCUGGAGCAGACUCAAUAUUUUGAAUACUCGGAGGUGGGGGGAUAUUGCUGACGACUGGUAUAUGGAGAAAUCAUGAAGUUUUAGCCAGGCGAAGCUAUCUCAGGAAUCUGUAAUGAGUGUGUGUGUGUGUUGUUAUUUCUUUUCCAACAGGCUGUGUAAUUUUUAUGACCAAUUAUUCCAUUUGUAACGACGCCGAGAUAGCAGAGAUCCCAUCUCAUGCUCCAUGGCACACGCCAGGCACUCAUGGGAGCUAGAAGACACCAUCCCUUAUGCAAUUGGAUGGCUUGAGUGCUGGGACAGAGACUGAGUUCUAGCAGGAGAUACAGCCUGGAAUGCUAAGGGAGACUCUGUGACAGGAAGGGUGUGAAGUAGUGGAAGUGGGGCAUGGAGAAGACUAGUUUUAAAACAAAAGAGAUUUACUGGGGACAGAUAAAAGACCGGUCUUCCGCCUGAGAAUUUUGUGACCCAACAAAACUUUGAUGGUGUUAUUUAUGUAUAACGAAAGGAUGGGUGCCUUUGGCUGUGGAACUAGCGUUCUCUCAAGGCCCAAGGAACCAGCCUUUUCCCACAAAAGACUGGAGGGCUCAGUUGGAAAGGACUGGUUUUAGGAAGUUUAGAAAAGACGUGGACCAGAGUAGGGGGAGGAUGCUCCUCUUGGGGCCAGUGGUUCUCUUUUCCCUUCCACUCAACUUUUGAGUCAAGACAGGGCUGAUAAUCUCCUUGACAGAUCUGGUAAUUGGCCCAUCAGGCCUUAAGGCGUGCAGGUUAAGGAUUGACAUUGGGUUUGCUCCUACCGAUUGGUCUGGAACACUCACUUGCCCCUGCUUCCCUAGUGUGUUAUAGGAUCUUUCCCAUCUAUUUGCCCUCUUGCUAUUUUUCUGUCUGCUUUUUUCUUGCCCAUUAAUUGUUAAGGGUUGGAUAUUAGAAGCCAACAGGCCUACGUUUGAAUCCUGGCUCUAUGCUUAGUAUUGUAUUACUCAGAGACUUUACUCUUGUUAUCCCAUCUGUAAAACGGGGGUAAUAAGACCCAUUUCUUAGACUAAUUGUAAGGAUUAAAUAAGAAUGUUUGUUAAGUAAGGGCCUGACAGUAAGUGCUCAAUAAAAGGCAGUGGACUAAUUGCCCGUAGAACUCCCUCUCUGUGCUCCCUGGCCACUUUUUGGUAGAGUAGAGAUGCAGAGAAGGAGUGAUGCACAAGUAGCUGGACAGAAGAGGAUGGCUAUAAAAAAAAAAAAAAAAAACAACCCAGAAGGAUAAUAAGAUGGGUCAAUACUAUGGAGACAGGGACACAAACAGAGUUUGUGGAACAGAGAGUGCAAAACAGACAGAAGCAGAGAGGACAUGAAAGAUAACGCGGAUGGACACGGGGAGAGGAGCAAUGAAAGGUAAGAGAAAGAAGAGGAAGGAUAAAGUCAGAAGGAGGGGAGGGACACGAGUGAAAGCCAGACAGGACUGUCCAAGGCAGAGACGAACGGUUCCUUUGUGGACUCUGGCCUAAGAUCCCCGGGCCAAGAAUAUUCCUGCUCUUUUCUUGCCCUUUGCUACGGUGGCACUCAAGUUCUAAGUCCCUGGUCCCCCUCCCGCACCCCCUGCAAUCUGGUCGUCUACCCCAAAGCUGGAGCAGCCCUGCCGCCUGCUUGCCUAUGCACCUCGGCCUGCACCGUCGUGGUUACCCAAGUCCACAGGGAUUUUUCAUUUCCAACACAAGUGUCUGGAGUGCAGAAGCAUCAUGGUGUCAGCCAGUCAGUGCAAUAACCAGGUGUAGUUUUACAGUCACUCCCCCCUCCCUCCUGACUGUAACAGCACUUUCAUAUAUCUCUGGCUGCGACAGGCAAUUUUCUUUCAAAGAUUGUUUUUUCUGGAGCCUGUGAUUUCUACUCUCGCCUCCAACCUCUGGGAUAUUAAAACGGGGUCAGUGGCUCUUGGCAGGCUGACCGAUUUGUGGUCAUUCCCCAGCUCCCCUGUUCACCCUCCCUGGUUGCCACGUCUCCAGUCUGGGCACCCCCUGCCUCUGCACCCUAAUUGGGCUGGAGGGAAGGGGCUUCUGUGGCCCCCCGUAAUGAGAAGUUCGGCCGUGUGUCUAACCUGAAGAGGAGAGGUUGGGUGGGGUGUGGGUGAAGAUCCAGGAGAGGAUUCACGUUCUAAGCCUCACCCCUGUUCUCCGUGGUCCCCACCGCCCCAUGCUGCUCCGGGGUGGAGCUGUCAGUUCCUUUGCACAAAAAGGUUGUAGUAGCUGAUUUUCCAGGGGGAACAUUCUGAAGAAAGUAGCGAAUUGAACUAAGAUUUGACAUAGAGGGAUUUUUCUCUGCUGGAGACUAGGAAUGGGUGGGAAGCUAGUGUAUGUCUUUUUCUGGGAAAUUUGGAGAAUUCCCAUACAGAUGAAGGGCUGGGCUCAGAGAGACCCGGCAUAUGGGGAAAGGAUACAGCAAGCUUUGGGUCCUUGCUUCCCUAAAGAGAGACUCUGUGACUCUGCUCUUAGAGCGGCCAAAAGCCGUCGCUUCCAUUGUUUGCUGGGGUGGCAGCGGCUGGCUAGCAAAAUCGCUUCUCUAUUUCACCAGGUAGGGGUUCUUUUUUUUAGAAGAAAGAUCUAAACCUGCUUUCGGGGUUGCCUAUUUUAGGAUUUCUCUGUUCCCUUCCUUGACCUGCGGUCUGAUGCAAAAAUCCUUUCUGAAGUCUAACUCCUGCUCCUCUUGCUUUGCCAACAGAUCAAAUCUUCUUGAAAAACAACAUGACACCACACACUCCCCCUCCUCACUCAUACCAUCCCUUGUUUUUAUUAAAUAAAAGUAAGUGGAGCUAUAAGAUGUGACUGGCCCGGAUCCCAGCUUCAUAAAACAAAACUAACACCCUCUUUAUCAAGGGGCUGAGGCAUCCAGAGAAGAUUUCUUAGGCCAUUUUGCUGUCACGUAAAUGGGAAUCAAUAUUCAAUAAGCCCUUGAUGCACUACACUAGCGGUUCACUUAAUACCGGCUUCCAGUACAGUAAGUGGCGUUGAUAUAGGGAGGGUUUGUUUGUAAAAUAACACUGCAGCCCUCACCUUCUGGAUACUGGAUCCGGCUUCCCCUCGGAGGAAAGAUUCAGGACUCGGAGCAAGCACGAGAAUCAUCUGGCCGGGCCUGCUGCCUCCGCUGCCUCCUCUCCUAUAGCCGAGCUUGAGAAAGAAAACAGAUUCUAUGCUUUUCUUUCUUUCUUUUUUUUUCUUUCUUUUUUUUAGAUUCUACGCUUUUCAAGCAACCAUUUCUAAGAUCCUAACGGUUAAUAGGCCACAUUCCUAUUAGGAGAUUUCUCACUGUGCCUGGUCUGAUUGCCUCUCCAUUUCCAAUAAAUUAGCCAAAGUGGAAACCAGUUGGAGGAUAGAACUGAUCCCACCACGAACAGGUGGGAGUGGACUCCCCGGUGCUCCCAGAGCCUGCAGGAGUUGGGAAUAAUAACCUUAUUCCCUCCGUCCCUGCGUGUGCUACAGGGGAAGACGGCUGGCUGCCUGGCCCCCUGGUGGAUGCGCCGAGGGUCUGGCGUUCUCUGCGUCUCCUGACUCCAAGUUUGGUAGGAAACCGACCACUUAAACAUGGUCAAUCAUUUAGUUUCCAUCCUAGGACGUCCUUGCAGGGAAUUGGUAACCUUAGACUUGUUUUCCCACAGCUCCAAGGAAGCAUGCGUUAAGGAAAAGCAAUCUCCCGUCUGCCUAAACAACACAGAUACAUCUUGUACAGAAAUUUUGCAUCAUACAUUUCAGGGCUCAAUGGAUUUUUGAAAAUUUAUCAAACAUUUUUAGGUUGUCUGUGUUCUCCAUUCCCAGUGUUCAUAGAGAAUGUGGGAUUCACAAUCUGGGGUGGAAGUGGAAAUUUACAGAGAGAUUUAUCCUGUAUUUUGGUCUCAGUUAUUUCUUAUUUAUUAAUUCAUGAGAGAGGCAGAGACACAGGCAGAGGGAGAAGCAGGCUCCAUGCAGGAGCCUGACGUGGGACUUGAUCCCGGGUCUCCAGCAUCACGCCCUGGGCCGAAGGCAGCGCUAAACCACUGAGCCACCCGGGGAUCCCCCGGUCUCAGUUAUUUCUUAUGCCACUUAAGGGGCUUGACAGUUUGG
RNAcentral lists this long non-coding RNA (4489 nucleotides) under Canis lupus familiaris (dog). Its description in RNAcentral is "lncRNA (ENSCAFG00040020465.1)". The record is from RNAcentral. Lineage: Eukaryota; Metazoa; Chordata; Mammalia; Carnivora; Canidae.